AUUCAAAUCUGAAAUUGGAGUCCAAUUUUGCUCCAUCUCUUAUGGAAAGUUGUCCUCCUCUCUUUCUUCCUGAAUAAAACGCUAGGUUCACCUCACCUUCUAGAAAUCUGUGUUUUACAUUAAAUGUUGUGCUAUUUUUUUUUGGCUAAAUAAAACCUUUUGAUAUCAGACACGCUUGCUUCACCUCCCCUUCUACAAUAAUCAAACGCAAAUUAGAAAUACAACUCCCCACAGAUCCAAAACUCUCAGAUUCAACACCUCCAGAACUCACACUUCGACCCCAACAACACACACGAUGACUUCUUGGAGCCUUCGUGUUCUUGGCCUAACCUCAACCCUAAAACCCCGUGGGACCUCAAGCCCAGAGAACUCUCCGAUGAAACGCCACCGUCUAACCCUGACAACAAUGUUCCUUACCAGUUCGACCAUGACUCUUCCACCCUCGCUUCCAAGCUCCAUAGCCACCAGAUUUCUGGCGCUACUAAGUCCUCCUCUGCCGCUGCCAUCAUGCUCCAGCAACAACUCUUCAUGUCUCGCGGUGCCAGCGCUAGAGCCGGCGAGUCUGGUCUGAUAUAGAUGUCGCUUUCUUUGGGUGCCUCCAACGAUGUCGUUGAUGGGUCAUCGUCUUUCAAGUCUCCCAAUACAGGUUUGUAGGUGGAAAGGGAAAUCCUUGCAAGCAAUCCAAGUCUGAGUAGAAGCAGUACUACCAGGUCUUAAUUGCUACUUAGAGCCAGAGAGUAGUUGAAAAGGGGUAGAGACAAAUAAGAAAAUGAAUAUUGAUGAAACUGAGAAAAGUGCAAAUAUUAUCAAGAUCCUAAUGAAAUAGGAGUUGAUGGAAAAUGACAACGGUAGGAAGAAUCAAGAAAUUGAAAACCAAAUGUACACGGCUCAAGGAAAGAGCAAGGCAAUGCAGAUUUCUAUUGGUACUAGCUCUUAUCUUUUAAUGAUUGGUAUUGAGAAAAUUCUAUAAUGGAAGACUUGGAUAGGCCUACCAUAGCCACUUCCUUUGAACUUACAUAGGCUUGGACAUUUGAUCUUGAGGGACCAAUUUUUAGUUUCAAUCAGUGCAAGUACAAAAUAGGGAUUGGCUUUAAGGGAUCUCUUUUUCCUCUCCCCUUACCUCAUGAUAUAUUUUUUGUUUUACUUUGUAUUCUUGGAAUGAAUUGUCCUCUUUGCAAAGUAAAUUGAGGAGUUACAGUAAGAAUCCUAUAAUGGUGAAGAGGUGUUUUGUAUUUUCCUCA
This is a long non-coding RNA of Quercus robur (English oak), 1241 nucleotides long. RefSeq lists it as uncharacterized. Lineage: Eukaryota; Viridiplantae; Streptophyta; Magnoliopsida; Fagales; Fagaceae. The record is from RefSeq and is a predicted model, not a curated record. The transcript has 3 exons.